UUUUGCCAUUUGAUAAGAAACUUUCUGAUUUUAAUUUUCCCCGGAAAUCGGUUAUUUUGUGAUUUAACUAUUUAAUUUUUACUGUGCGUAUUGCUGUGUGCUGUUUUUUGUUCUACAAUGCUAGAAGUAUAGAGUGGGUGAGAUCACACAAAAUAUGUUUAACCUCGCUGCAUUGUUGGGUUGUGCCAAGUCAGGAGCCUUUGGCCUUUGUAAGUCGUGUACGUUUUAAAAAUAAAUAAAUGCAUCUAUAUGUUUCAAAGUUUAGUGUGACGUCCUUUUUGACUGAACUAGUACAUAUUUUUGUUAUGAUGUUAGCUGAAGCCCGCCUCCAUGUGCGGUAUUUUCUUGCUGUGUUGAAGACCCAUUGUUGGUUUUCGUCUGUUUUCUGUACUUUUUUGUUGAUUGUUUGUCUGAUUGACACAUUUUUUCAUUUCUAAUCUCAAUUUCAUUGCUUAACGUUUGAUGAAUUCACUCUCACGAGCCCCUAUAUAAGACAUUUUGUUUAUUGGGUACACUUGUCUAUGUAGAUGUAUACAUACGCAGUCACAUUCGUGAUAAAAAAAA
This 564-nucleotide long non-coding RNA is filed under the name Mytilus galloprovincialis (Mediterranean mussel). Lineage: Eukaryota; Metazoa; Mollusca; Bivalvia; Mytilida; Mytilidae. The record is from RNAcentral.